Molecule: ribosomal RNA, 527 nt
Filed under: Sticta subfilicinella
Lineage: Eukaryota; Fungi; Ascomycota; Lecanoromycetes; Peltigerales; Lobariaceae
Description: eukaryotic LSU rRNA
Rfam family: Eukaryotic large subunit ribosomal RNA
Source: RNAcentral
CAGGUCAAAUUUGAAAUCUGGCCCUCGCGGGGCCCGAGUUGUAAUUUGUAGAGGGUGUUUCGGGCGCGAUGCCGGUCUAAGUUCCUUGGAWCAGGACGUCGUAGAGGGUGAGAGUCCCGUAUGCGACCGGCGAUCAAGCCCGUGCGWAGCCCCUUCGACGAGUCGAGUUGUUUGGGAAUGCAGCUCCAAAUGGGUGGUAAAUUUCAUCUAAAGCUAAAUACCGGCCAGAGACCGAUAGCGGACAAGUAGAGUGAUCGAAAGAUGAAAAGCACUUUGGAAAGAGAGUCAAACAGUACGUGAAAUUGUUGAAAGGGAAGCGCUUGCGAUCAGACCGGCCCGGAGGCGAUCAGCCGUUGCUCGUCAGCGGUGCACUCGCCUCCGAUCCGGCCAGCAUCGGUUCGGGCGGCGGGACAAAAGUCCCGGGAAUGUAGCUUCUCUCGGGGAGUCUUAUAGCCCGGGGCGCCAUGCCGCCCGCCCGGACCGAGGACCGCGCUUCAGCUAGGAUGCUGGCGUAAUGGCCGCAAGCG